Molecule: ribosomal RNA, 305 nt
Filed under: uncultured bacterium
Lineage: Bacteria
Description: bacterial SSU rRNA
Rfam family: Bacterial small subunit ribosomal RNA
Source: RNAcentral
UGCCUACGGGAGGCAGCAGUGAGGAAUAUUGGUCAAUGGCCGCAGGGCUGAACCAGCCAAGUCGCGUGAGGGAUGACGGUCCUAUGGAUUGUAAACCUCUUUUGUCAGGGAGCAACGCCGGCUACGUGUAGCCGGACUGAGAGUACCUGAAGAAAAAGCAUCGGCUAACUCCGUGCCAGCAGCCGCGGUAAUACGGAGGAUGCGAGCGUUAUCCGGAUUUAUUGGGUUUAAAGGGUGCGUAGGCGGAAUGCCAAGUCAGCGGUAAAAUCGCGGGGCUCAACCUCGCUCCGCCGUUGAAACUGGCG